Molecule: ribosomal RNA, 775 nt
Filed under: uncultured Neocallimastigales
Lineage: Eukaryota; Fungi; Neocallimastigomycota; Neocallimastigomycetes; Neocallimastigales
Description: partial large subunit ribosomal RNA
Rfam family: Eukaryotic large subunit ribosomal RNA
Source: RNAcentral
UAUGUGAUCGUCUCUCGCAUAUCAAUAAGCGGAGGAAAAGAAACUAACAAGGAUUCCCUUAGUAACGGCGAGUGAAGCGGGAAGAGCUCAAAUUUGAAAUCUUCAAGGUUUUACCUUGACGAAUUGUAGUUUAAAGAAGUGUUUUCUGUUGAAGUUUUGGUAAAAGUUCUUUGGAAUAGGACAUCAUAGAGGGUGAGAAUCCCGUAUUUGACCAUUAUUUUCAGCUGUGUGAUACACUUUCAAAGAGUCGGAUUGUUUGGGAAUGCAGUCCAAAAUGGGUGGUAAAUUUCAUCUAAAGCUAAAUAUUGGCGAGAGACCGAUAGCGAACAAGUACCGUGAGGGAAAGAUGAAAAGAACUUUGAAAAGAGAGUUAAACAGUACGUGAAAUUGUCAAAAGGGAAGCGUUUGACACCAGUGUUGUUUUCUCGAAAAUCAAUUAAAAAGGCAUGAUUUUGUGUUGUAUUGACCUUAAUCAGCUUCUGCACUUCAAUUUUCUUGUCUUUUUUAAUGCACUUUUCGUUUAACAAGUCAACAUCAGUUUCUUUUGUUGUAAAAGGUCAUUGGAAGGUGGCUUUCUUUUCGGAGAAAGUGUUUAUAGCCUUUGCCUCUGCAAUCGGAGAGAUUGAGGUCUGCAGCGUAGAUCCUUCGGGGUUAGAUACAUUUGUGCUAAGUUAUAGCCUUUUCAUAGACAACUUGUUGACUAUGAUCAGUCAUGUAGCUUACUCGCUUAUGCUAUUUUACCUACGCUUAGGAUGUUGACGAUCAGCUGAGCGCG